Molecule: ribosomal RNA, 427 nt
Filed under: uncultured bacterium
Lineage: Bacteria
Description: bacterial SSU rRNA
Rfam family: Bacterial small subunit ribosomal RNA
Source: RNAcentral
UGAGGAAUAUUGGACAAUGGGCGCAAGCCUGAUCCAGCAAUGCCGCGUGCAGGAUGAAGGCCUUCGGGUUGUAAACUGCUUUUGUACGGAGCGAAAAGGUCUGCCCUAAUACGGUGGGCUCAUGACGGUGCCGUAAGAAUAAGCACCGGCUAACUACGUGCUAGCAGCCGCGGUAAUACGUAGGGUGCGAGCGUUAAUCGGAAUUACUGGGCGUAAAGCGUGCGCAGGCGGUUAUAUAAGACAGAUGUGAAAUCCCCGGGCUCAACCUGGGACCUGCAUUUGUGACUGUAUAGCUAGAGUACGGUAGAGGGGGAUGGAAUUCCGCGUGUAGCAGUGAAAUGCGUAGAUAUGCGGAGGAACACCGAUGGCGAAGGCAAUCCCCUGGACCUGUACUGACGCUCAUGCACGAAAGCGUGGGGAGCAAACA